UAUCUCUGUAGAGUCUGCAUAUCAAUAAGCGGAGGAAAAGAAACUAACAAGGAUUCCCUUAGUAACGGCGAGUGAAGCGGGAAGAGCUCAAAUUUGAAAUCUUCAAGGUUCUACCUUGACGAAUUGUAGUUUAAAGAAGUGUUUUCUGUUAGAUGAGUAGCAAAAGUUCCUUGGAAUGGGACAUCAUAGAGGGUGAGAAUCCCGUAUUUGGUUAUUCAUUCUAGCUUUGUGAUACACUUUCAAAGAGUCGGAUUGUUUGGGAAUGCAGUCCAAAAUGGGUGGUAAAUUUCAUCUAAAGCUAAAUAUUGGCGAGAGACCGAUAGCGAACAAGUACCGUGAGGGAAAGAUGAAAAGAACUUUGAAAAGAGAGUUAAACAGUACGUGAAAUUGUCAAAAGGGAAGCGUUUGACACCAGUGUUGUUUUUCCGAAAAUCAAUUACGAAUGGCUUGAUUUUGUGUUGUAUUGACCUUAUCAGCUUUCUUCACUUUUUUCGAGUCUUUCUUAAUGCACUUUUCGGUUAACAAGUCAACAUCAAUUUCUUUUGCUGUAAAAGAGUAUUCGGAAGGUGGCUUUCUUUUCGGAGAAAGUGUUUAUAGCCCUAUACUUCUACAAUCGGAGAGAUUGAGGUCUGCAGCGUAGAUCCUUCGGGGUUAGAUACACUUGUGCUAAGUUGUAGCUUUUCAUAGACAACUUAUUGACUAUGUUUAGUCAUGCGGCUUACUCGCUUGUGCUAUUUUACCUACGCUUAGGAUGUUGACUGAUAUGUAGUCGUA
RNAcentral lists this ribosomal RNA (774 nucleotides) under uncultured Neocallimastigales. Its description in RNAcentral is "partial large subunit ribosomal RNA". It matches the Rfam family "Eukaryotic large subunit ribosomal RNA", at positions 24 to 644 of the family's 3401-position model. The record is from RNAcentral. Lineage: Eukaryota; Fungi; Neocallimastigomycota; Neocallimastigomycetes; Neocallimastigales.